Molecule: ribosomal RNA, 594 nt
Filed under: Adelie penguin guano bacterium 25
Lineage: Bacteria
Description: bacterial SSU rRNA
Rfam family: Bacterial small subunit ribosomal RNA
Source: RNAcentral
GAGCGGCGUACGGGUGCGUAACACGUGUGCAACCUACCUUUAUCAGGGGAAUAGCCUUUCGAAAGGAAGAUUAAUACUCCAUAAUAUAUGAUCAGGCAUCUGAUUAUAUUGAAAACUCCGGUGGAUAGAGAUGGGCACGCGCAAGAUUAGAUAGUUGGUGAGGUAACGGCUCACCAAGUCAUUGAUCUUUAGGGGUCCUGAGAGGGAGAUCCCCCACACUGGUACUGAGACACGGACCAGACUCCUACGGGAGGCAGCAGUGAGGAAUAUUGGACAAUGGGUGAGAGCCUGAUCCAGCCAUCCCGCGUGAAGGAUGACGGUCCUACGGAUUGUAAACUUCUUUUGUAUAGGGAUAAACCCAGAUACGUGUAUCUGGCUGAAGGUACUAUACGAAUAAGCACCGGCUAACUCCGUGCCAGCAGCCGCGGUAAUACGGAGGGUGCAAGCGUUAUCCGGAUUUAUUGGGUUUAAAGGGUCCGCAGGCGGACCGAUAAGUCAGUGGUGAAAUCUCAUAGCUUAACUAUGAAACUGCCGUUGAUACUGUCGGUCUUGAGUAAAUUAGAGGUAGCUGGAAUAAGUAGUGUAGCGGUGAAA